Long non-coding RNA from Oncorhynchus nerka (sockeye salmon), 4935 nucleotides. RefSeq lists it as uncharacterized. The record is from RefSeq and is a predicted model, not a curated record. The transcript is spliced from 3 exons. Lineage: Eukaryota; Metazoa; Chordata; Actinopteri; Salmoniformes; Salmonidae.
ACUGCUCUUACCUUCACAGUCUCCUCCAGAGGGAGCCUCUAAACCAUAUAUUUGUAAGUUAAGUUAUGCAAAAGUGAACUUAAUAUACAAGUUGGUGUUUAUUAUGGUCUAUGCAUAGUAAAUAAAGGCAUUCUAACUUUAAAACCCACCUGCUUGAACCUUAGUUUCUUCUAACCAUUUCACACUUUUGUUGGAUUCGAUUUAACCUGUUGUUGUUUUCUAUGAUUCCCCAUUUCAGCUCAACGUUGGAAGCUCCAGACACAUUAAUUGCUCAAGGAUAUCCAAAGUCCAUUGAUGGUUAAACAUUAAUCAUUGUAAUAAAAUGCUCUACGGAGAAAAGGAAAGAGUUUAACUUAUCUUCAACAGACUCUCCAUUUUAAACUUGCUGUGGCAGCGUUCAGAGUCAAAAAAUACCCAUCCCUAUGGUGAAGCACGGUGGUGGCAAGGACUGGGAGACUAGUCAGGAUCGAGGCAAAGAUGAACAGAGAAAAGUACAGAUCAAUCCUUGAUGAAAACCUGCUCAAGAGUGCUCAGGACCUCAGACUGGGGCAAAGAUUCACCUUCCAACAGGUAGCAAUGCUUCCCAUCAUACCUGACAGAAACUCCCCAAAUAAAGGUGUGCCGUGCUUGUAGCGUCACACCCAAGAAGACUCAAGGCUUUAAUUGCUGCCAAAUGUGCUUCAACAAAGUACUGAGUGAAGGGUAUGAAUACUUAUGUAAAUGUGAUAUUUCCAUUUUUUUUAUUUUUUUUACUACAAAACAUUCUAAAAACCUGCUUUUCCUUUGUCCUUAUGGGGUAUUGUGUGUAGAUUGAGUAAAUAAAUAAUGUAAUACAUAUUAGAUUAAGGAUGUAACCUAACAAAAUGUGGAAACAGUCAAGGGGGUCUGACAACUUUUCAAAGUCACUGUAUAUAUCCAUUAUACUUUGUGAUAUAAAAUGGGAAAAGGCAAAAAAAAACUAUAGUCCCAACUAACCAUAUACUCAUUAAAAACCCACCACCAUAUUUCACCCUAUCUAAUCCUACACCAGGCCAACUACCAGAACACUACCACUCAACACCCCACUGCAACUCUUCUGCAGUAAAACCUCGCAAGUACAUGUCACGUUCUUUCAAAAUCGAACCCAGAAGCAGACUAGGACAAGGAGAGUAGGAAGAAGGUGAGUAUUUAUUUACAAGUGAAUGUGAAUGGGUAGAUAUAUCCAGGUGGCGUAGCGGGCAGCGGUGGUGAGUUGAUGGGAGUAAAUAGGUGGAUCCAAUGGGGUAGCGGAAUCCUCCGACAACCAGGCGGGAAUGGGGUAAAUGAUCCGGAUGAGUAACUGAAGACAGAACAAACGGAGGUAAGUUUAAGGCAAGCAAUACGUAAAAAACAACAAAACAAAUUCUAUCCAACUUGAGGCUGAUACUAUGGCACAACAUACUGUUCAUGGCUAACGAUCCGGCAGGGAAUGGAUGUCAGGUCAGAGGUUUUGAAGGGGAGAGGUGAUGAUCAGGACAGGUGUGCAGAUUACUGAUGGGAUACAGGUGCGGGUGAACAUCGAUCUCCCAACAAGCUAAUUCGCCCGGCAACCAGACAGGGUGCGUUCCAGGACACCGGAAACACACUCCAGGACAGAAACACAGGCAAACACAGACCCAGGAAGCGGGAUUCGUGACAAUACAUCUCUGCAGCUGCCACCGUAACCUCUGUUUUCUAUGAGUUGCGGUCCAUUUUCUAAAGUAGAAUUGACAACCAUGGAUAUGAACGGUAAGAAACCCACCGCACUGAAACAUAUUAUUCCUACCACUCUUUAUUGGCCUCUCAGGAUCCCUCGCCAUGUACCCAUCUUCCAGUACAACUCCCUUCACUGCCUCAGCACAUGACGCCUUCUGUACUACUCUGACCCUGGCAACCUCAACCAGCCUUUCGUUUCGUGCCCUCCUGCACACUUCUCACAUCUAGGAAUCUCCUUCCUACACAAUGCUGCAACAUGACCAUAAGCUUGACACCUAUAACAAUGCCGACCGUAUUACCCCCCAAGAGAAUUCCCUUUGAUUAUAGUCACAGCCGUGUAUAUUCCCCCUCAAGACGAUACCACGACGGCCCUCAAAGAACUUCACUGGACUCUAUGCACACUGGAAACCACAUAUCCUGAGGCUACAUUUAUUGUAACUGGGGAUUUUAACAAAUCACAUUUGAGGAAAAUGCUAUCAAGUUCUAUCAACACUUUGACUGUAGUACUCGCGCUGCUAAAACACUCGACCACUGCAACUCCAACUUCCGGGAUGCCUACAAGGCCCUCGUCUACCCUCCCUUUCGCUUCACCCACAAUAACAUCUGCUAAACACGUGUAUGUGACCAAUACAACUUGAUUUGAUUUGACAUCCUAACUUAACUUUGUCGGGUAAAGACUCUGCAUCAAAUCUCAUCAGGACAGACAAAGUCUUCUCUGUUUCAUGACGCUCUCCACCGGUUCUGCGUCGUAUCAAUCGGCAGGUGUCACAUACACCAGGAAUCUUCCAUUUCAGUUGCUCCUCCUCAACAUUUAAUGCCACUCAGUUAGCACUCCUUUCAAUUGCACCCUGCUCCGGAGAUCUUGUCCCUAGUUACGCGGUUCGGCGCGUCCACUCCCUCUGGACAGAAGAAAUGCAAAAAAUCAAAAAAGUCCACUUCGAGUUACAUUCACCGACUCAGCAGUGCCCAACCUCUUCUCCACCCAAACUGACACCACACAUGAAUCCGCCAGCAGGUUAGGAUCCAUUAUCUCCAAACUUCUCACUCCAACUGGGCCAGAAUCAUCCUUAUCAUUAUUGGGACGAGGCUCAACCCUCCGCCAUCUUCACCACACCUGCCACUGCAGGUAAUUCAUCCUGAAUCUUGUCAGAUUAAUUUUCGUCCUCCACCCAAGUGUUGUGAUCACAGAAACCUUUCAGAUCUUUGGUAUUGUUCGUCUGUAACUCCAUCUUCAAUUCAAACCAUAGGUUUUCAAUGGGUUUCAAGUCCGGAGACUGAGAUUGUCAUUGCAAAAUGUUGAAAAAUGUUUUGUGACCAAUUAACCAUUUAUUUGUGGAUUGUGACGUGUGCUUGGGGUCAUUGUCUUGCUGAAAGGUCCACUUGCGGCCGAGUGUCAGCCUUCUGGCAGAGGCAACCAGGUUUUUGGCUAAAAUGUCAUGGUACUGGGUAAAUUUCAUGAUGCCGUUGCACCUUAACAAGGGCCCCAGGACCAUUGGAACAAAAUAACCCCAUAACAUCAAAGAUCCACCAUAUGUUAUAGUAGUUAUGGGGUUAUUUUCUGCUCAUGAAUUCUCUUUUCGACACCAAACCCACCACAGGUGUGCAUGGCCAUGUAGCUCUAUUUUACUUAUUCGCGGGGACUGCAAUUAUUGACACCCUUGAUAAAGAUGAGCAAUAAAAACUGUAUUCAAUAAAUAAUUCAGAUACUGAGCUAUAUUGUACGUUAAAAAAAUCCAUAAAUUAUAUUAUUUUAUACAGAUACAAUUGCUCAGAGAAAUAGAUUUUGUUGAAAAAAUUAUAUAUGUAUUUUUUGUCAAAAAAGUAGGGUUAGGGUCAACAUUAUUGACAAUUAUUAUUGACACCCAUAAAGAUUCUUAUGAAUAAAGUAUUCAAAAGGUUAGUAUUCGGUCCCAUAUUCCUAGAACGUAAUGAGUACAUCAAGCUUGUGACUCUAAAAACUUGUUGGAUACAUUUUCAAUUAGUUUUGGUUGUGUUUCCGAUUAUUUUGUGCCCAAUAGAAGUUAAUGGUAAAUAAUGUAUUGUGUCAUUUUGGAGGCAGUUUUACAACAAAUAUGAAUAAAGUGUUGGAUUACAGAGCUAAUACAACCAAAAAUGUGUCACUGUCCCAAUACUUUUGUAUACAUAUAUACUUCCAUCAAUUCCUUUUCUUAUUCCCCUACAUAGUUUGGAGCUUGAUGGUUGAUCAUGCAGGAAAUUAUGAACACUUUUAUAAUUAAUAUGUGUCAUGAUUUUUGGGACUAAUAGACCACACACACACACACACACACACACACACACACACACACACACACACACACACACACACACACCUAUAUCAUUUUAUGUUUCAUUUUUAACAUGUGAUCACAUUUCCUACCACAAAUAAGAUAAAAUAUCAAACAUCGUUAUUGAAUUUAAUCUUUAAUUUAUUUUUAUUUUUAACAUUAAUAUUACCACAUUGCUUACCACAAAUUCAAUUAAAUUAGAUAGUUUUUUUCAAUGGUCAUGCUAAUUCAUUAUAGAACAAACAAAACACGUUGAAAAAAACACGUUGAAAUAUGUUAAUGUUAUUGGAUUCAUAUUUUGUGUUAAAAUAUCCGAAUGAUUUUUAACAUUGAAACAAUAAUUACAUUGACGUUUUUUUUUCAGUGGAUGUGACAUUCGACACUGCACAUGUCAAACUCUCUUUAUCUGAUGAUAACAAAUGUCUCAAAUUUGUUGAAUUAAAAGAAAAAAAGGAUUGUGAUAAUUUCAAAGAAAAAUGCAAAGGAAGCGGCAGCAUGAAGUUUGAAGAAGAACACAAAGAAGAAGACACAGAGCGUUUUGGAGGAAAACCUACAGAAAAUAUGGAUGUGACAUUCGACGCUGACACUGCACAUGUCAAACUCUCUUUAUCUGAUGAUAACAAAUGUCUCAAAUUUGUUGAAUUAAAAGAAAAAAAGGAUUGUGAGAAUUUCAAAGAAAAAUGCAAAGGAAGCGGCAGCAUGAAGUUUGAAGAAGAACACAAAGAAGAAGACACAGAGCGUUUUGGAGGAAAACCUACAGAAAAUAGUAUGUUAAAUGUUUCAGGAAAAGACAAAGACAAGAAAACUGGAUUAUUUAACAGACACACACACACACACACACCUUUUUUCCCCACGCCAUUGGUUAGAGCCUGUAUGUAAGUAAGCAUUUCACUGUCUACACCUGUUGUAUUAGGCGCAAGUGACAAAUAAACUUUGA